CCAGACUUCAAAAAGGAAGUCUCCUCACCUGGGUCUUCCCAUGUCAACAGAGCCGAAGCAAGAGAAGUCCCGGCCGGCCGUAAGGAGAUGCGAAACCCCACAGCAGAUGUCAGUCCAGGGCUGGAGCUCAGCUCUCAUCUGCAAUGCACCAGAACCCUGACAUCAGGGGAAAUUAGCUGCCAUAUCUUCUGAUCACUAAGUUUUUCUGGCUGCUCUGCCUGGGGAGCAGAGUGUCUUUCCUCCUCCUCUGGGCCCCAGCUGCAAGGUCACGGUG
This 274-nucleotide long non-coding RNA is filed under the name Microcebus murinus (gray mouse lemur). Its description in RNAcentral is "lncRNA (ENSMICG00000048228.1)". Lineage: Eukaryota; Metazoa; Chordata; Mammalia; Primates; Cheirogaleidae. The record is from RNAcentral.